UACGUAGGGGGCGAGCGUUGUCCGGAAUCAUUGGGCGUAAAGAGCGUGUCGGCGGCUUGGCAAGUCUGACGUGAAAGCCCGCGGCUCAACCGCGGAUUGUCGUUGGAAACUGCCUCGCUAGAGUCCGGAAGAGGAGAGCGGAAUUCCUGGUGUAGCGGUGGAAUGCGCAGAUAUCAGGAAGAACACCCGUGGCGAAGGCGGCUCUCUGGGACGGGACUGACGCUGAGACGCGAAAGCGUGGGGAGCGAACAGG
This 253-nucleotide ribosomal RNA is filed under the name uncultured bacterium. RNAcentral describes it as "partial 16S ribosomal RNA". It matches the Rfam family "Bacterial small subunit ribosomal RNA", at positions 524 to 776 of the family's 1533-position model. The record is from RNAcentral.